GUGAGGAAUUUUGCGCAAUGGGGGAAACCCUGACGCAGCGACGCCGCGUGGAGGAUGACGGCCUUCGGGUUGUAAACUCCUGUCAGAGGUGAAGAAUGCCCGCAAGGGUUUGACGGUAACCUCAGAGGAAGCCCCGGCUAACUACGUGCCAGCAGCCGCGGUAAUACGUAGGGGGCGAGCGUUGCUCGGAAUUACUGGGCGUAAAGGGUGUGUAGGUGGCUGAAUAAGUCAAAGAUGAAAUCCCGAGGCUUAACUUCGGAAUUGUUUUUGAUACUGUUCAGCUUGAGGUUAGUUGAGGAGAGCGGAAUUCCCGGUGGAGCGGUGAAAUGCGUAGAUAUCGGGAGGAACACCUGAGGCGUAGGCGGUUCUCUACACUAAUCCUGACACUGAGACACGAAAGCUAGGGGAGCAAACGGGAUUAGAAACCCGAGUAGUCC
This 437-nucleotide ribosomal RNA is filed under the name uncultured bacterium. RNAcentral describes it as "bacterial SSU rRNA". It matches the Rfam family "Bacterial small subunit ribosomal RNA", at positions 354 to 796 of the family's 1533-position model. The record is from RNAcentral.